Molecule: long non-coding RNA, 469 nt
Organism: Cucumis melo (muskmelon)
Lineage: Eukaryota; Viridiplantae; Streptophyta; Magnoliopsida; Cucurbitales; Cucurbitaceae
Exons: 2
Source: RefSeq, a predicted model, not a curated record
AUAAUAUAGACAGCUCCAAAACCCUAAUUUUCUUGCAGAACUGCUCUUUCUGUCUGGUCAGCCAAGAAAAAAGAAAUUAAAGGAUAUUUGAAGAAGGAUAAUAUAUGGAUCAGAAGAGAUAUUACAGAGUGGUGAAUAACAAGAAUAAUGGAAAUAAGAGACAAGAAAAGAACAACAACAAUAGCAAUAGCAAUAAUUCAUCAUGGUCGCCAAUUUCAGAUCUCAAAUUACCACAACAACUAGCAAAUGGAGAUCAAGAUGUUCAAACCCAGAUCGACAAUGUCCUCCAUGGCCCCAAAACGACUACUCGUUUGCUGGUAUUCAAACAAAUUUGCCCUGAUCAAAAUUGAACAAGAAUACUACAUAAUAUUUAUACAUACAUUUGCACAAAAAUAUAUAUAUGUAUAUAGUUUUACUAUUCAUCUUUACAAUAAACAGCCACAUACAUACUCAUAUAUGAUUUUAUUUA